CACAUUUGCAUGAGCACGCACUCGGACUCCAUGUCUCUUCUGGGCUACCCUGGGCUUUGCAAUGCCACAUCCCACAGGACUCAUUGUUACAUCCCAGUGACUUCUGUUGCUCUUUGCUCCAGUGAUGUAAACUCUACCUUUGGACACUGUUUACCCAGUAGCUACCAAGGCAAUCUCUGGCUCCUGGACCACUGCCAAGAAUCCUACUGUGAAGUGCCAAGCUGUGAGUCUCCCAGCUGUGAGCCCAAGACCUGUACCACAGAUUGUGACUCCACAAACUCCUGUGUGCCCUCCAACUCCCCAUCCACAGGCCAAGUCAUCAGUGCCUGUGAAACUACCAACAUCAAAUCUGGCCCCAGCUGCAGCCCAUGUACUUGGACCAAGGGGUAUGUAUCCAAUUGCUACAGGCCUGCUCGAUAUCCUUCCAGAGCUUGCCACACACUCCUCAAUGGCUCCAACUGCUUUGGGCUACUCAACUGUUUACCUAAGAAUUUUCGUCCUUUAAACAGCUACAGCCAGCUGGGUAGUUUGAAGUAUAGAAGCUACCAAGAUCCUGGUUUCAUCUCCAGGGGCUUCUCACCAUCAUGUUAUAUUACCAGCAGCUACCAACCCCUAAGUUAUUUAAUGAGAAAUUGCCAGUAUCCAAAUUAUGGGUCUAUGAGUUACCAACCACUGAGCUAUUUAUCUAGAAACUUCCGAUCUCUGAGCUGUAUACCCAGUACCUUUCCACCUCUGAGGUAUUUAUGCAGUGGCAGCAGACCUUUGAAUUGCUAUUGACCAACUUAAAGCAUUUAAAUGAGCUAGAAUUUGCCCAAUAGGGCAGAUUCUACUAAGUUGUAGGAUCUCUGAAAUGUAGAAUCCUUAGUAUUCUGCUGAAUCACUUUAUAUAUCUCAAGAAGUUUGUCACUUUAACUUUAAAUGGAAUAGAACCACAGCCAUUACUAUAGGUAGAUUUUUUUUCUGUUGCUUUGUUAAUCCUCUUUGUGUUAAAAGCUUAUUCUCUAGAUAUAGUUAUCUAAGACAUACCAUAUGGACUUACUGAAGAGAGUUCACAUGAAAUAUAACCAUCAAUCACCAGCUUUCUUACUUUGGUUCCAAGUACCACAUACCUGCCAGUGCGACUAUCACCAAACUUUUCUUCAUUAAGUGGGGCUUCCUUGGUUUGAUGGUUGAUUUCAGAGCACAAGUUCUUUCAGAUGGUUUUGCUUUUCCUCAACAGUUUCAUCUACUGCUUAACAAGCAUCUUGCUUGUGUACUGAGAGAGAGCAUUAACUUAAAUGUAUUGAGUGGGACCAUAACUUCCUUUCCCUACUAACUGCUUAUAAAGAUGAGCAAAUAACAGUGGCCAACUUGAGCUCAAAUACAGAAGAAUUCAAGAAAUCUUCUCCAAAGAAGCCAUCAAACACAGGAUUGACUGGAACUUGGAUUUUUUCGUCAAUGCCUGGGAGAAAGCCUCAGAAGUGAUUGAAGCACAAAAGUUAUUUGAUAAAACAAUGACAAAACACUGUUGUAGAUUCUUUAAAGUUAGUGUUGUUCUGUGUG
Molecule: long non-coding RNA, 1542 nt
Filed under: Marmota monax (woodchuck)
Lineage: Eukaryota; Metazoa; Chordata; Mammalia; Rodentia; Sciuridae
Source: RNAcentral